RNAcentral lists this ribosomal RNA (506 nucleotides) under Pochonia chlamydosporia. RNAcentral's name for it is "SSU rRNA". It matches the Rfam family "Eukaryotic small subunit ribosomal RNA", at positions 63 to 575 of the family's 1831-position model. Lineage: Eukaryota; Fungi; Ascomycota; Sordariomycetes; Hypocreales; Clavicipitaceae. The record is from RNAcentral.
GUAUAAGCAUUAUACAGCGAAACUGCGAAUGGCUCAUUAUAUAAGUUAUCGUUUAUUUGAUAGUACCUUACUACUUGGAUAACCGUGGUAAUUCUAGAGCUAAUACAUGCUAAAAAUCCCGACUUCGGAAGGGAUGUAUUUAUUAGAUUAAAAACCAAUGCCCUCUGGGCUCCUUGGUGAUUCAUGAUAACUUCUCGAAUCGCAUGGCCUUGCGCCGGCGAUGGUUCAUUCAAAUUUCUUCCCUAUCAACUUUCGAUGUUUGGGUAGUGGCCAAACAUGGUUGCAACGGGUAACGGAGGGUUAGGGCUCGACCCCGGAGAAGGAGCCUGAGAAACGGCUACUACAUCCAAGGAAGGCAGCAGGCGCGCAAAUUACCCAAUCCCGAUUCGGGGAGGUAGUGACAAUAAAUACUGAUACAGGGCUCUUUUGGGUCUUGUAAUUGGAAUGAGUACAAUUUAAAUCCCUUAACGAGGAACAAUUGGAGGGCAAGUCUGGUGCCAGCAGCC